GGAAGAGUUGCUCGAGUCCACCCUCGAGCUAUCCUGAAGACAGGCGGAAACAGAAGAAAGGGCCUUCAUAACCGCCGGAAAGCUUCCUGAUAUUUGAAUUAACUCGUCCUGCGGCGACGCACAGGCAGGAAUUUGAUCCUUGGGGACAAUCUUUACUUGAGCCAUACUCUCCUGCCUAAUCUUCUCCACAACUUUUCCUCCUCUACC
RNAcentral lists this unclassified non-coding RNA (207 nucleotides) under Hevea brasiliensis (rubber tree). The record is from RNAcentral. Lineage: Eukaryota; Viridiplantae; Streptophyta; Magnoliopsida; Malpighiales; Euphorbiaceae.